Molecule: unclassified non-coding RNA, 218 nt
Filed under: Hevea brasiliensis (rubber tree)
Lineage: Eukaryota; Viridiplantae; Streptophyta; Magnoliopsida; Malpighiales; Euphorbiaceae
Source: RNAcentral
UUAUGGAUCUCCGUUGCCUCGCCGUUGGCGAGAUCCGCUUCGGGAUCGCUGCCGAUCCGGUCUUCAGCCGCGCCAUUUGACGGAUCUGUUGCUGGAGCGUUUCCGAUAUCGGGUUCGGUUCGAUUGUCGUCGUUCGAGGGGGGCGAUUCGGCUGCGGUGCCGUUCGGAAGCGGCGGUGACUCGGCAUUCGCUGGUCCUGGUGACUCCAUCGUCGGAGA